GGUCAUAUGCUUGUCUCAAAUGUAUUAGAACGGUUGAAACUGAGAAUGGUUCAGGAAUCGGAUCUAAUUGUCUGGGCCGCCAUUAUUCUCGGAGGCGAUAGAUAACUGUAGUAAUUCUAGAACUAAUACAUCUAACACAGGUCGUGAUCGGUCAUUGCAUCGCUGAUACCUUGCUUUCUUGUGCGUUGGCGCCCACAUUGAUUCGUUCCCGCCGUCGCCGGCAACUGCUGGUAUCCUCGUGGUGUCGGUAGUGGUGGUGGAUGUGGUAGUAGUGAUUAUAGUGUGUCGGCUGUAAACGGGUGAUGAACGGUGUCCUCUGAUUUGGUUACUCUGCAUAAUUCACUGGUCGGGCUUCCAAGCCUAGCGACUGAUCUCUGGAGAGUCAUCAACUAUCAAUGGUCGAUUGGGUAACAAUGAAUCGGGGUUCGAUUCCGAGGAGGGGGUCAUGCAAAAUGGCUACCACUUCCAAGAAAAGCAACAGACCCACUUUCGAUCUUGAGAUUGGAAUGAAUACAUUUCAAAUCCGUUAAUGAGGACCAAACGAGGGGUAAUUUAAUUUCUGCUAUAGUAUAUUAUAGAUGUUGCGAAAA
Acanthosepion pharaonis is the source of this 590-nucleotide non-coding RNA. Lineage: Eukaryota; Metazoa; Mollusca; Cephalopoda; Sepiida; Sepiidae. The record is from the annotation of a GenBank genome assembly.